This is a long non-coding RNA of Psammomys obesus (fat sand rat), 1623 nucleotides long. RefSeq lists it as uncharacterized. The transcript has 3 exons. Lineage: Eukaryota; Metazoa; Chordata; Mammalia; Rodentia; Muridae. The record is from RefSeq and is a predicted model, not a curated record.
AGCAGUGUCGUGAGCGCUCAGAGCUGCGCGGAAGCAAGGUUGAUGUUUCCCCGGGUCUGUGUGCAGAGUCCGGGCAAAAGCAGAGAUUCAUUGUUGGCAGCUACAACCAGGAUCCGAGACAUCAAAUAUGUCCCUGUUUAGGAUCAAGUCUGUGCAGCCAAAGAGCUGUCAGUGUCCCAAAGCCAGGAGGUCCCUGCAUACGGAGAAGAGUAAGGACACAGCAGGGCUGAAUUCGUGUGUCGCGUUCGUCUGCACCAGGGUAGUCAUGACAACUAAAGGACAUCACAGAAAUCAAGUUCAAGACACGAGCAACAUGCCUCGUCCCCAAGUCCUGCUCCAGCCCUCACUCUGAUUCGUCCUGCUACUACUGUCCGUGUGCAGUAUUGCUUCCUCUGAGAUGCCCUGGUUAGUUUUGGUAUUUCAGGCCUUUCAAAAUGAUGUCCCUGGAGGGGAUGAUAUCGCUCUUUGGACUCAGCCAGCCUAAGCUUCCUGCUCUUGCCUCCAAGGUUUCUGGGAUGUUUGCUGGGACUGGAGGUAGCCCUUCUCUAAGGAAGCUCUCCUUUCAGCAUAUGUACACUGUGCUCGUCACAGCGGGGGACGUGAAGGGGGUCAGCAGCAGACGGGUGAUAGGGGCUUUCUGUGUGCCCAGCACUGUGCUGCACACGUGGUAGAGAUGGUCUCAUCUACUGGGAGGUGAGCCUGUUAUUUCCAUUUGAUAAAGAACACGAGGCUUAGGGUAGCUGAGGGAUUUCUGAGGUCACCCAGCAACUAGGUAGGUAGGUAGGGCCCCAGCAUAGAGUCUACCCCACCCCACCACCUUCUGCACACAGCAGCAAGUGCCAGGGAGAGCAGUGUGCAGUGGGGACAACACCAGGAGCAGAGCAGGGAGGAGCUGCCACCAGCCAGGCAGGACACUAAGGCCUUGGGCACCACAGGUCAGUGCUUUAUAACCGGCAGUGAUUCGGGUCCCCUUCCCCCUGGGGGUCAUCAACAUUGAUGUCUGAAGGCUUUUGUUUUUGUUCUUCCUGAACUCCUGAUCGCAAACCAUCCUCCUGCAUCAGCCUCUGAACUAUCUGGGACUGCAGGCAAGUGCACUGUUCUCUGCGUGGAGGGAUCUUGGCGAGGAGGGGGAAUGGCAUGUGGUGGUGGAGACCAGGGAUGUGCUAAGCAUCCUAAAUGCACAGGACAGCCGCACAGGGCCUUUAUUGUCAAGGGCACUGACGAUAUGACGAAGCCUGCCAUUGGUAAAUGGACGGGAGGAUGGAAAGCAAGCUGGUCCAGAGUUCUGUCUCCACUGGUAGCUUCCCCUCGCACCUCCAGGCUUCAAGGCUCGGGGUUCAGACCGCAGGCACAGAUUGACAUGGCAAAAGUGGUCUUGGCCAGUAGUGGAAGACAACUGGGCUGGGCAAGGCUGUGUGGCACGGAGAAAGCUCUGCCUAAGGGCUAGAAUAAUUCUGGUCUGUGACUUCACACUGGGAAUGGGCAAGGAGGAACUUUUUUCAUGCAGCCCCAGGACCCUGGCUUUGUGGAAUCCAUACCCAUUGCACCCUGGCUAGGCAGUCCCACCCUGAACUCCUGCUGGGUUCUUCCAUGCUGGUCCUGGGGCAGGGGCUCACCUGGAGU